AGCGAACGCUGGCGGCAGGCCUAACACAUGCAAGUCGAGCGCCCCGCAAGGGAGCGCAGACGGGAGAGUAACACGUGGGAACGUACCCUUCAGUUCGGAACAACCCAGGGAAACUUGGGCUAAUACCGAAUACGUCCGUAAGGAGAAAGAUUUAUCGCUGAAGGAUCGGCCCGCGUCUGAUUAGCUUGUUGGUGAGGUAACGGCUCACCAAGGCUACGAUCAGUAGCUGGCUGAGAGGAUGAUCAGCCUCACUGGGACUGAGACACGGCCCAGACUCCUACGGGAGGCAGCAGUGGGGAAUAUUGGACAAUGGGCGCAAGCCUGAUCCAGCCAUGCCGCGUGGGUGAUGAAGG
This 353-nucleotide ribosomal RNA is filed under the name uncultured bacterium. RNAcentral describes it as "bacterial SSU rRNA". It matches the Rfam family "Bacterial small subunit ribosomal RNA", at positions 29 to 414 of the family's 1533-position model. The record is from RNAcentral.